UAGUCAUAUGCUUGUCUCAAAGAUUAAGCCAUGCAUGUCUAAGCACAAGCCGAUUAAUGGUGAAGCCGCGAAUGGCUCAUUACAACAGCCACUGUUUACUUGAUCUUGACUAUCCUACUUGGAUAACUGUGGUAAUUCUAGAGCUAAUACACGCAAAAAAGCUCCGACCUUACGGGACGAGCGCAUUUAUUAGACCAAAACCAAUCGGGCUUCGGCCUGAAACGUUGGUGACUCUGAAUAACUGAGCUGAUCGCAUGGUCCCGUACCGGCGACGUAUCAUUCAAGUGUCUGCCUUAUCAACUUUCGAUGGUAGUUUAUGUACCUACCAUGGUUGUUACGGGUAACGGAGAAUAAGGGUUCGACUCCGGAGAGGGAGCCUGAGAAACGGCUACCACAUCCAAGGAAGGCAGCAGGCGCGCAAAUUACCCACUCUCGGCACGAGGAGGUAGUGACGAAAAAUAACGAGGCGGUUCUCUAUGAGGCCCGCUAUCGGAAUGAGUACAAUUUAAACCCUUUAACGAGGACCUAUGAGAGGGCAAGUCUGGUUCCAGCAGCC
RNAcentral lists this ribosomal RNA (556 nucleotides) under uncultured eukaryote. RNAcentral's name for it is "SSU rRNA". It matches the Rfam family "Eukaryotic small subunit ribosomal RNA", at positions 21 to 575 of the family's 1831-position model. The record is from RNAcentral.